AACGCGAAGAACCUUACCCAGGCUCGAAAUGUAGUGGGCGAGUACAGAGAUGUACUUUUCCGCAAGGACCAUUAUAUAGGUGCUGCAUGGCUGUCGUCAGCUCGUGCCGUGAGGUGUUGGGUUAAGUCCCGCAACGAGCGCAACCCUUAUCAUUAGUUGCCAACACGCGAGGUGGGGACUCUAGUGAGACUGCCUAGGUUAACUAGGAGGAAGGUGAGGAUGACGUCAAGUCCGCAUGGCCUUUAUGUCUGGGGCUACACACGUGCUACAAUGGCCGGUACAGAAGGCAGCAAAGCCGCAAGGUAGAGCAAAUCCGUAAAAGCCGGUCUCAGUUCAGAUUGUAGUCUGCAACUCGACUACAUGAAGUUGGAAUUGCUAGUAAUGACGUGUCAGCAACAACGUCGUGAAUACGUUCCCGGGCCUUGUACACACCGCAUAC
Molecule: ribosomal RNA, 439 nt
Filed under: uncultured bacterium
Lineage: Bacteria
Description: bacterial SSU rRNA
Rfam family: Bacterial small subunit ribosomal RNA
Source: RNAcentral